RNAcentral lists this ribosomal RNA (480 nucleotides) under uncultured bacterium. Its description in RNAcentral is "bacterial SSU rRNA". It matches the Rfam family "Bacterial small subunit ribosomal RNA", at positions 31 to 507 of the family's 1533-position model. The record is from RNAcentral.
GAACGCUGGCGGCAUGCCUUACACAUGCAAGUCGAACGGCAGCACGGGAGCAAUCCUGGUGGCGAGUGGCGAACGGGUGAGUAAUAUAUCGGAACGUGCCCGGUCGUGGGGAUAACGUAGCGAAAGCUACGCUAAUACCGCAUACGAUCUACGGAUGAAAGCGGGGGAUCGCAAGACCUCGCGCGAUUGGAGCGGCCGAUAUCAGAUUAGGUAGUUGGUGAGGUAAAGGCUCACCAAGCCGACGAUCUGUAGCUGGUCUGAGAGGACGACCAGCCACACUGGGACUGAGACACGGCCCAGACUCCUACGGGAGGCAGCAGUGGGGAAUUUUGGACAAUGGGCGCAAGCCUGAUCCAGCAAUGCCGCGUGCAGGAUGAAGGCCUUCGGGUUGUAAACUGCUUUUGUACGGAACGAAACGGUAAGCUCUAAUACAGUUUGCUAAUGACGGUACCGUAAGAAUAAGCACCGGCUAACUACGUG